This 316-nucleotide long non-coding RNA is filed under the name Phoenix dactylifera (date palm). Its description in RNAcentral is "long non-coding RNA (PDAC_LNC018270)". The record is from RNAcentral. Lineage: Eukaryota; Viridiplantae; Streptophyta; Magnoliopsida; Arecales; Arecaceae.
GACCAUGAAGUGCCACGGGAUGACCUUUUCUUAUCCUGCUCUUGUCUUGACAUGGUAAACAGUAUUGCCCAGCAUUAUCUCAAUUAUUUAAUCAGUUUUAUGGCCCGGCAAUUACAUUUCUGUGUUUCCAUUCAAAAAUUAUAUUAAACUGAAAAAACUUUUUGUCUACUUUUGUUAGAUUCAUGUAUCUUUGUUGAAAUAGUGUACUUGAUAGCUAUCUAUUUUCAUAUUAUUUUUUUAAAUAUUUUAUAUUUAUUAAAAAAAUUUAUUAUUAAAAAAAAGGCCUCAUUCAUUGGAUUCGCCUUAGGCCCCCAAA